AGCAGUCGCCGCGGUAAUACGAAGGGUGCAAGCGUUAAUCGGAAUUACUGGGCGUAAAGCGUGCGUAGGCGGUUUGUUAAGUCUGCUGUGAAAUCCCCGGGCUCAACCUGGGAAUGGCAGUGGAUACUGGCAAGCUAGAGUGUGUCAGAGGAUGGUGGAAUUCCCGGUGUAGCGGUGAAAUGCGUAGAGAUCGGGAGGAACAUCAGUGGCGAAGGCGGCCAUCUGGGACAACACUGACGCUGAGGCACGAAAGCGUGGGGAGCAAACAGGAUUAGAUACCCGAGUAGUCCCUGUCUCUUAUAA
Molecule: ribosomal RNA, 303 nt
Filed under: uncultured bacterium
Lineage: Bacteria
Description: partial 16S ribosomal RNA
Rfam family: Bacterial small subunit ribosomal RNA
Source: RNAcentral